RNAcentral lists this long non-coding RNA (354 nucleotides) under Phoenix dactylifera (date palm). RNAcentral describes it as "long non-coding RNA (PDAC_LNC010532)". Lineage: Eukaryota; Viridiplantae; Streptophyta; Magnoliopsida; Arecales; Arecaceae. The record is from RNAcentral.
AUGUUCCAUAUCAAGGACGAUGAAAUCUACUGAAAAAUAGAAUUUGUCUACUUUGACAAGAACAUCUUCAAUUAUCCCAUGUGGUGUUUUUACAGAUCGAUCAGCCAAUUGAAGGGAUACCGAGGUUGGUUUUAACUCACCUAACCCAAGUUUCUCAUAAACUGAGUAAGAUAAAAGGUUGACACUUGCCCCUUGUUGCCCAGAUAGACAACCCAAGAGGGGGGGUGAAUUGGAUUUUAAAAUAAUUUAGAUAAUUAAAACGAUGUGGUUGAUUAAUUAAAAACUAUUGCAAGUUAUUUAAUUAAUGCUAAGUGCUGUGAGUGAUGUGAGGGGAAGAAGAAGAGAGACAAUCCA